This 120-nucleotide ribosomal RNA is filed under the name uncultured bacterium. Its description in RNAcentral is "partial 16S ribosomal RNA". It matches the Rfam family "Bacterial small subunit ribosomal RNA", at positions 28 to 142 of the family's 1533-position model. The record is from RNAcentral.
GAUGAACGCUAGCGGCAGGCUUAAUACAUGCAAGUCGUGGGGCAGCAUGGGGUAGCAAUACUCUGAUGGCGACCGGCAAACGGGUGCGGAACACGUACGCAACCUUCCUUUAACUGGAGA